Molecule: long non-coding RNA, 5254 nt
Organism: Clupea harengus (Atlantic herring)
Lineage: Eukaryota; Metazoa; Chordata; Actinopteri; Clupeiformes; Clupeidae
Source: Ensembl
CGCUUCUGUGUUCCCGACUCAGUCUGGCCUGUUUGUGUUUCUAGAGAGCGUGGAGGGGGAGCGGGGAGGUGGGCUUUGUGUUCACAGCGCACUGACACAAGCUUCACUCGAGGCCUUUGAUGUCGGAGCCCUUGCCCUCAUGCGCAUGCUGUUCAUGUUUGAGAAGGGGAAGUUCCAUGAUCUGAUUAACACUGAUGGCUCUUUAAAAGGGCUCAACUAUCUCUGACUUCUGAUCCUGGCGUUCUUGCCCCGUUGUGAAUUUCCUCUCGUGAGUCCAUCGCUGCGAGGGAGCGAGAGAGGGGAGAAUGAGGCGUUUGUUUGUGUGAGCUUGCGUUGCAUCUUGAGUUGACUAGAACACACUGUGGUUGCGAGUGUUCUGGAUGCCACUCUGUCUGGUGCUUUCCUCUCUGACUGUGAGUGUGAAGGUCAUGUCAUGUCCGUUCUCUCCGUCUUUCAUUCCCUCCUGCUCUCUCUCUCUCUCUCGCGUGCUUUCUCUCACUCUUCACUCCCUGUCUCUUUCUUUCUUUCUUUCUUUCUUUCUCUCUCUCUCUCUUUCUUUCUCUCACUCUUCAUCCCCCGUCUUUCCUUUAUAAUGAUGGUGUUAGAUUCAAUUUAAUUUGACCCUCAUAGCACAUUAAAAAUAAAGCAUUGAGCACUUAUAAGCAUGAUUUCAAAGGACUUCACAUUUGGGGCCAAACAGCCCCCCUCAAUCAAUACACAUUGAGAAGCUCCCUUUGAAAAAGAAAAAACUUUAGUUGGAAUGUGGUCAAAGGUGCCCCUAUUAACCAACACAGUCUGCACACUUAGUUCAAUUCCCUUUUAUUGACAUAGAACCAAUAACAAUUAAAAUUGUGUAAAGGUGGUUUACAGAGCAUAGAACCUGAAUCCCCAGGGGCAUUCAAUUAAAAUUCAAAGAGGUCUAGUUAGAGAAAAUGACCUCAAGUAAAAGUCUAGAACAUCCUAAUGUCUCACUUGCAUUAUGAUUCAGUGCAAUAUAUAUAUUGAAGUAGCCCAGUAGUUAGAUAGCAUCUAAUCUAGUCAACAGCUGACUGUCAAAUCAUACAAAAAAGUACUAUUCAAUUCAAUUAUAUUAUAUGUUUUUGUAAAAUACUGUAAUGAUAAAUGUUAUUUCAUUGUUGUUAACUCAAUGUCACAUCUUAACAGUCCCAGUACCCACAACUUUGGCAGAGAAAACAGCACAUUAAAAGGUCACAAGACAAGGUUAACAAGGUAUAAAAAGAUCUCAAUGAAGGACAACAUUCUUUGCUAGUUUUCUGAUUCUUGUAAUGAUCACUAUAACAUGCUUUCAAAGCUAUUAAAAGUAGAGUUCAAAGUUCUCACAGCACUGACUUGCAACUUUUUCCAUGGCUGCAGUUCAUGACAGGCCAAAAGCUCCUAUCCCCAACCCUGUUUACCAUUGCUCUUUUCAAAACACUUCUGAAUGAAUAACAUGAAUAACUGUAUGAUUGAACAGUAUGAGUAUGAAUAACACAAUGUUAUUGACUGAAUAUGUGAGACAAAAUUUCAAUCAAUUCGAUCAAUGCCCCCAGAAUAAAUAACAUAUUGUUUCUAUUUUUAGCACUCAUGCACAAUGCAGCAAUGCCUGAGUGAAUGACAACCUGGAACAAUAGUCAUUUUGCAUCAUAAACAGUGUCCAUUUUUUCCUAGCACUCACCUUAUUUUCUGUGGAAAAUUCUUUACAUUUGUAAAAAUCUUAACCCUAAAUAAAUAAAUAACCAGCCAAAGUGAAUUUAACACGGGGAAGCGGAUACUUCUAAGGCAACUGAACAGCUUUAACACCUAAUUUUCUCUUCAUUUCCCUCUAAUAUCCCACAGGGCUGUUCUCAUAUACAUGUGUAGGUGCUCAUUGGUGAGCCUGGAACAGUGUUUGGUUUUUUAUAAUGUUAAUUGUGGAGAAAGACGCCUAACGGCUGUAUGAGGAGCCGAACAUGGUCAAAAUGUCAACUCCUCUGAGGAAUUCCCUGAGCAUGCAAUGCUGAUGGGAAGAGGAUGCCUGAGAAAGUGAAUCAUUCUCAUCGUUAUGUUCAUCACCUCGGCAUACUUGUCUGACAGGGUGGGAGCACAGGGCCAAUUGAGAAUUAUGCAGUGGUAAGAGUGAUAAGGGAGCAGCUCCAUCUGGGGUUAUAGAAAUCACUUUUUCAUCUCUAUUCCCCACUUCAUUUAACAUCUGCUUCAUGGCCAUGUAGAUGUACUCUUGUACUGGUCUGAAGGGGUGUAACACCUAACAUGUCUUCACAAAACUUUCUUCUCCUAGUUGAAGAACCUUACAUAAACUAACAGCUCAGCAUGGUCAGAUACAUCAGUGGACUGGGCUAGCACAUCCUGGGUUUCAGUUUUCUUUGUAGUUGAUGAUGCUGACAUAAGUAUUUGUUUAUUCCUUUUUACAAAACUCUUCUUUUUGUUUUCCUUCAAGUGAGGUUUCAGCGUACUCAUGCUUGACACUCCCUCCGUCAGUACAUGUUAGGUAGUACAAGAGCGAUAGGAGGAGAGGAGGAGAAGAGAGAAUCAAAAGCAAGCAGAUGCACGCAUCAGGAUAAAACACAUUACCAUACAUACGGCAUAUGUCAUGAUGCAUACAAUAUUGAUAGUGGAUAUAAACGGAGAGAGCCAGCGUUUAGAGUAUUGGUUGGAGAACAGUUCAGUGGGUAUGCAGUGUGCUCAGAAGGUUACUCUCAUAAGGAUGAGCAGAUAUAGAAGAAUGGAUCAGAAGGAUGUUUGUUUAUGUUAGGAGUAAAUAGGCUGGCACACAAUAUGUAUAGAGCAGAGUAGAAAUUGUGCUUACAGCACUCAAUGUAUAUUUACAGAACAGAGUAUUGCCCAUAUGUAGGUAGUUACAGCACUAAAUGUAUAUUUACAGAACAGAGUAUUGCCCAUAUGUAGGUAGUUACAGCACUAAAUGUAUAUUUACAGAACAGAGUAUUGCCCAUAUGUAGGUAGUUACAGCACUAAAUGUAUAUUUACAGAACAGAGUAUUGCCCAUAUGUAGGUAGUUACAGCACUCAAUGUAUAUUUACAGAACAGAGUAUUGCCCAUAUGUAGGUCGUUACAGCACUAAAUGUAUAUUUACAGAACAGGAUAUUGCCCAUAUGUAGGUCGUGAAACAUUGGCAUGAUGUAGCUUAACAAACUCUGCCAUCAUCAGGGAUGAUCAGCACGUUUCCAUAGGGACCAGUAUAGGUCUGGGGUGUGGGCCAUGCUCUGGUAGCGGACUGCAUCGCUAUUAUUUUGGGACAGGAUUAGACCUGAGAAGAUAUAGUGAGCAAAAAUGCUUCAAAUAUUGGAGAGGGGAAUUUAGAUCUCUGAUCUUAAUGAACUUAAUGGUCAUACUCAUCAGUUUUGACCUUAAUGAAUGCGGAUGAAGAAUGUUGUUACUAGGCAAAAGAAAGCAAAAGGAACAUCCAAAUGAAACAUAAAGACAAAAUGUUUAAGAGUGCACAUCAAUAACGGAUACAAAUAUGAAUACAUACAAGUUUUAGAGCUUAAUCAUAGAGAGAAAUGUUUUUAACCUGCUUUACUAUGUAAGCAAUGGAGUAGUCAGUUUGUCAUUACAUUUCUUCUGCCAAUUCAGAUAUGGACAUGGAUAGACAAAUGGGUAAAUAGUCCUCAUGGGAUCGAAACUUCAGAGAUGAAGUACUAUAUCCGUUUUCAUGAGAGUCAUACUAAACAUCCCAGAGCUCUCAGGGGUGAAUUGACUGGGACAUAAUAAUGUAGGUCAUUCUGACCUUUAUGUCAAUAAAGUGUGUGUGUGUGUGUCUUAUGACAGCAUGUUGGGAUUGUGUGUGCGUGCGCGUACUGGCACAAUCAAGCACAUGUUGCUCACAUUCAUUGGUUUUGUAAUACAUUGAGGUGAAGGACAUAUUUCCCCUGGUGAGAAGUUGAUGGUUGUUGUGGUUAUUGGCUGUUGAGGAAAUUACAGAGAGAUGGGUUUGAUGUCUGUGCAGAUUUAAUCAUCUCACUAUGGAGGUUGGAGCAGGGCAGAGUGACGGGGAAAGAAAGAGAGCCUGAGACACAGUAGGUGUGUGUGCAGACCUCCAUACUUUGGUGCAGAUUGCUUCCCUCACACUCAUGAAUACAAAUGACUCGCUCAUGGCGUCAGGGGGGAUGUUGUAACCAGGGACGUCCUUGUGGUGUGCCCAGUUCAUCAUGGCAGGAACAUUAAGCCAGGAGUAGGAUGAUGAUUAUAAUUGCGAUCUCUACUCUGUGUGAGACAUUGAGGUUUAGUGGGGUGGGUGGGUGUGUGUGUGUGUGUGUGUGUGUGUGUGUGUGUGUGUGUGUGUGUGUGUGUUUGUGUUGACAGGUCAGUGCUUCUUGAGUAUGGUGCGAUACAAUCCUCUUAUGUAUCAACAUCUUGGCUUUGGAAAUUCAUAUUUUUCCCCUUAUUUUUUGAAAGGACUGGAAAUGGGGGGAAAUGAGUGAAUUCUCUCUCACACAUAUUUUCUCUUUCUCUCUCUCUUGUUAUUUUUCUUUCUUCCCCUGUCUGUCUCUCAUAUUUCAUUUCUGGCUCCAGGAGUGGAACAGUUGUAUAAUUCUGUGUACAGUAGCCCAACAUUCUCCAUUGUUUAGAACUUCAGAAUGCUCCCACACUUCUCUCUGGCCUUGUUAUGGUGGGUCUGAUUUCCUAACUGCGUGCUCACUGGAUAACUAUUGGGGAAGUUGGCUAGAAUGUUUUUUAAGUCUGAUGCUUGCUUUCCCCCUCUAGGUUCAGCAAACAGCCUCUUGGUACAAACACAGUGAUUUUCAUGAUUGUUGUCUUGGCCAACUCAAAUAUCCAAAAGCUUUGUUUGGUUUAUCAAGACUUCAGAAGUAAUGUUGGGUAUUCAGGUGUGAUACACCCAGAUUGUGCUUCUUCUGUUCAGUGGAGGGUAUUUUUUCAGGAGUUAAAAAAGAAACAGAAGGGGGAAUGGGUGACUGUAGAUGUUGUUGAUGUGAAUAACUGCUGCAAUUAGAUAGCUUGAUAGACUUCAUUUCAUAAUUUCAUGGUACAUUUGAGGUUCAUCGUCUCAUCUUCCAUGAGUGUCUGAGUUGACUAAUCCUGUUCAGGGGGCGAUGAAUCCUAAUUUUUUGUAGCUUUCCCACUGGGCAAAUUAAGAGAUGUGAGAUCAGUAUCAGAUAUAUACGUAGAUAAUACAUUAUUUUUCUUAUUUAUGUAUCUAUAUAUUAGUGCUGUCAGUUUAAUGCGUUAUUAACGGCGUUAACGCAAACCCAUUUUAACGCCGUUCAUUUUUUUAUCGCGA